This 324-nucleotide long non-coding RNA is filed under the name Portunus trituberculatus (swimming crab). Its description in RNAcentral is "uncharacterized LOC123515555, transcript variant X1". The record is from RNAcentral. Lineage: Eukaryota; Metazoa; Arthropoda; Malacostraca; Decapoda; Portunidae.
UGUUUUUUUCUUUCACAGAUGGAAGCAAGUGGAGAACAGAAAGGGCACACAUGCACAGAUGAAACUGCUAUAUGUGAUGGCUUAUACAAUGCAGUCACAGUCAAAGAAAAAGAGCCUGUAUCUUAUGAGGCAGUGGCUAGUGGCACUGAUGAUUGGUGUCAGAAAGGGGGCAAAGAAGGCAGAAAGAAACAAAAUUGAACCACAUGGAAAGGCUCACUUUGAACAGGACACAAGCUGAAGACAAAGGAGGAAUGGUAGUGACCCUACUUCCUGAGGCUUAAGCAAACUAUAUGGGAUCACCAGAGAAGGGCAAGGCUGAUUGAU